This 253-nucleotide ribosomal RNA is filed under the name uncultured bacterium. Its description in RNAcentral is "partial 16S ribosomal RNA". It matches the Rfam family "Bacterial small subunit ribosomal RNA", at positions 524 to 776 of the family's 1533-position model. The record is from RNAcentral.
UACGAAGGGGGCUAGCGUUGUUCGGAUUUACUGGGCGUAAAGCGCACGUAGGCGGAUCUUUAAGUCAGAGGUGAAAUCCCAAGGCUCAACCUUGGAACUGCCUUUGAUACUGGAGACCUUGAGUCCGGGAGAGGUGAGUGGAACUGCGAGUGUAGAGGUGAAAUUCGUAGAUAUUCGCAAGAACACCAGUGGCGAAGGCGGCUCACUGGCCCGGUACUGACGCUGAGGUGCGAAAGCGUGGGGAGCAAACAGG